CAGUAGCCGCGGGAAUACGGAGGGGGCUAGCGUUGUUCGGAAUUACUGGGCGUAAAGCGCACGUAGGCGGCUUGGUAAGUUAGAGGUGAAAGCCUGGAGCUCAACUCCAGAAUUGCCUUUAAGACUGCCGAGCUAGCAGGUGAGAGAGGUAAGUGGAAUUCCGAGUGUAGAGGUGAAAUUCGUAGAUAUUCGGAAGAACACCAGUGGCGAAGGCGGCUUACUGGCUCAUACUGGACGCUGAGGUGCGAAAGCGUGGGGAGCAAACAGGAUUAGAUACCCGAGUAGUCCAUGUCUCUUAUAC
RNAcentral lists this ribosomal RNA (301 nucleotides) under uncultured bacterium. Its description in RNAcentral is "partial 16S ribosomal RNA". It matches the Rfam family "Bacterial small subunit ribosomal RNA", at positions 509 to 807 of the family's 1533-position model. The record is from RNAcentral.